This 253-nucleotide ribosomal RNA is filed under the name uncultured bacterium. Its description in RNAcentral is "partial 16S ribosomal RNA". It matches the Rfam family "Bacterial small subunit ribosomal RNA", at positions 524 to 776 of the family's 1533-position model. The record is from RNAcentral.
UACGGAGGGGGCCAGCGUUGUUCGGAAUUAUUGGGCGUAAAGGGCGCGUAGGCGGCCGGAUAAGUCUGAUGUGAAAUCCCACGGCUCAACCGUGGAACUGCAUCUGAAACUGUUCGGCUCGAGUCCGGGAGAGGGUAGUGGAAUUCCCAGUGUAGCGGUGAAAUGCGUAGAUAUUGGGAGGAACACCGGUGGCGAAGGCGGCUACCUGGACCGGUACUGACGCUGAGGCGCGAAAGCUAGGGUAGCAAACAGG